UGCAGCUUUGUCAAAUUCAGUGCUCCCUCCAUAGUAGGUUUCACUGGCCAAAAUGGCUGCAACAGUGAGUGUAGUUCAUGGGCCCCACAUUUCUUUGUGGAUUGUGAGGAUAAAUAUGUACUACUGACAGAU
Molecule: small nucleolar RNA, 132 nt
Filed under: Mola mola (ocean sunfish)
Lineage: Eukaryota; Metazoa; Chordata; Actinopteri; Tetraodontiformes; Molidae
Description: Small nucleolar RNA SNORA5 (ENSMMOG00000018019.1)
Rfam family: Small nucleolar RNA SNORA5
About the family: ACA5 is a member of the H/ACA class of snoRNA that guide the sites of modification of uridines to pseudouridines.
Source: Rfam by way of RNAcentral